Molecule: long non-coding RNA, 249 nt
Filed under: Mytilus galloprovincialis (Mediterranean mussel)
Lineage: Eukaryota; Metazoa; Mollusca; Bivalvia; Mytilida; Mytilidae
Source: RNAcentral
GACAGUAGAAUGCUUCUGCUACAUAAAUAUGGGCUGUUUUUGACAAUACAAUGCACAUUUAUCCGGUACUAGCACCAUUAAGUCAUGCUAAAUUACUGAAAUCCUCAUAAUUCUAGCAUUUUAGUUAAAUUUUAGACGGUUUUCGUGUAAAACGAAAGUGGCCGCAUUCGUGUCCAUCCUUAAUAUUGAAAUGUAAGUUGUAUUUUAUGAUAAUACAUAACAUAUAUAAAGGUUGAGGAUGAACACGGA